This 433-nucleotide ribosomal RNA is filed under the name uncultured bacterium. RNAcentral's name for it is "partial 16S ribosomal RNA". It matches the Rfam family "Bacterial small subunit ribosomal RNA", at positions 29 to 507 of the family's 1533-position model. The record is from RNAcentral.
AGCGAACGCUGGCGGCAGGCUUAACACAUGCAUGUCGAGCGGGCACUUCGGUGUCAGCGGCAGACGGGUGAGUAACACGUGGGAACGUACCCUUUGGUUCGGAAUAACGCUGGGAAACUAGCGCUAAUACCGGAUACGCCCUUUUGGGGAAAGGCUUGCUGCCGAAGGAUCGGCCCGCGUCUGAUUAGCUAGUUGGUGGGGUAAUUGCCUACCAAGGCGACGAUCAGUAGCUGGUCUGAGAGGAUGAUCAGCCACACUGGGACUGAGACACGGCCCAGACUCCUACGGGAGGCAGCAGUGGGGAAUAUUGGACAAUGGGCGCAAGCCUGAUCCAGCCAUGCCGCGUGAGUGAUGAAGGCCUUAGGGUUGUAAAGCUCUUUUGUCCGGGACGAUAAUGACGGUACCGGAAGAAUAAGCCCCGGCUAACUUCGUG